CGGGUAGCCGGCCUGAGAGGGUGACCGGCCACACUGGGACUGAGACACGGCCCAGACUCCUACGGGAGGCAGCAGUGGGGAAUAUUGCACAAUGGGCGAAAGCCUGAUGCAGCGACGCCGCGUGAGGGAUGACGGCCUUCGGGUUGUAAACCUCUUUCAGCAGGGAAGAAGCGAAAGUGACGGUACCUGCAGAAGAAGCGCCGGCUAACUACGUGCCAGCAGCCGCGGUAAUACGUAGGGCGCAAGCGUUAUCCGGAAUUAUUGGGCGUAAAGAGCUCGUAGGCGGUUUGUCGCGUCUGCUGUGAAAGCCCGGGGCUCAACCCCGGGUCUGCAGUGGGUACGGGCAGACUAGAGUGCAGUAGGGGAGACUGGAAUUCCUGGUGUAGCGGUGAAAUGCGCAGAUAUCAGGAGGAACACCGAUGGCGAAGGCAGGUCUCUGGGCUGUAACUGACGCUGAGGAGCGAAAGCAUGGGGAGCGAACAGGAUUAGAUACCCUGGUAGUCCAUGCCGUAAACGUUGGGCG
RNAcentral lists this ribosomal RNA (523 nucleotides) under Arthrobacter sp. RNAcentral's name for it is "bacterial SSU rRNA". It matches the Rfam family "Bacterial small subunit ribosomal RNA", at positions 280 to 815 of the family's 1533-position model. The record is from RNAcentral. Lineage: Bacteria; Bacillati; Actinomycetota; Actinomycetes; Micrococcales; Micrococcaceae.